CAAGAGAGGAAGGAGGAGAGAGGGCCGGUGAGAAUUGAAUUGUGCCUGGCAUUGUGCAGCUGUGGUGCUGUCUUCAUCACUCCCUCCGUUUCCAGUCCUGCUAAUUAAAAGAAAUGCUCUGCUGAAAGACGCUGCUGGCCACCAACGUGCACAAUCUAUGCAGCUGACUUCAGACUUAAAAACAGCCAGUCUGAUCCCCACUCAGGGCAAAGUUUUCAACAUAUUUUGUCGACUGCUUUCAGUUUCUUGUUUUUCUCUUGUAUGUUUAACAAUGAGUGCAGGUAGCAAGGAGACUAUGUAAGCAGUUUCUCGGGCAUAAUUCAUGAAGAUUCAUACUUCGUGUUUUUGUUUUUGUUUUAAUUAACUCUCUUGAAAUGGUUGAAAAUGACUUUAAAUUUUACCAACUUUAAUACAGACCAGGAUUCCUAUUUAUACUUUCUUCUCCAAUGGCAUAUGCUAGUUAGGGCUUCUAAAGCUGUUACGCAACAAAUGUGCAUUCAAUCUGCUGAUCCAUUUUGUCUGUAUUCCUCAAUUCAUGCACAUCUAGAAGGUUAUGUAUUCUUGAUUCCUGAAUCUGCAGACACACAAACUCUUCUAUAUAACAAUGGUCCUUGAUUCUACUAUUACUUCAAAGUGAGCUUGGGGAAGUCACUCUACUAGUAUUUCUCAGAACCUCUCUGUAACCCCCACUAAC
This is a long non-coding RNA of Hipposideros armiger (great roundleaf bat), 694 nucleotides long. RefSeq lists it as uncharacterized. The record is from RefSeq and is a predicted model, not a curated record. Lineage: Eukaryota; Metazoa; Chordata; Mammalia; Chiroptera; Hipposideridae. The transcript has 3 exons.